Molecule: ribosomal RNA, 158 nt
Filed under: Roldana sp. Quedensley 7077
Lineage: Eukaryota; Viridiplantae; Streptophyta; Magnoliopsida; Asterales; Asteraceae
Description: 5.8S ribosomal RNA
Rfam family: 5.8S ribosomal RNA
About the family: 5.8S ribosomal RNA (5.8S rRNA) is a component of the large subunit of the eukaryotic ribosome. It is transcribed by RNA polymerase I as part of the 45S precursor that also contains 18S and 28S rRNA. Functionally, it is thought that 5.8S rRNA may be involved in ribosome translocation.
Source: RNAcentral
GACUCUCGGCAACGGAUAUCUCGGCUCACGCAUCGAUGAAGAACGUACAAAAUGCGAUACUUGGUGUGAAUUGCAGAAUCCCGUGAACCAUCGAGUUUUUGAACGCAAGUUGCGCCCAAAGCCUUUCGGCUGAGGGCACGUCUGCCUGGGCGUCACAC